GUGCUCGCCUCGGCAGCACAUACACUCACAUGGGAACGGUGCAGAGAUCAGCAUGGCCCCUGCGCAAGCAUGACAUGCAAAUUUAUGAAGCGUUCCAUAUUUUU
Molecule: small nuclear RNA, 104 nt
Organism: Ochotona princeps (American pika)
Lineage: Eukaryota; Metazoa; Chordata; Mammalia; Lagomorpha; Ochotonidae
Source: RefSeq, a predicted model, not a curated record